This 72-nucleotide transfer RNA is filed under the name Streptomyces tardus. It matches the Rfam family "tRNA". From Rfam's summary of the family: Transfer RNA (tRNA) molecules are approximately 80 nucleotides in length. Their secondary structure includes four short double-helical elements and three loops (D, anti-codon, and T loops). Lineage: Bacteria; Bacillati; Actinomycetota; Actinomycetes; Kitasatosporales; Streptomycetaceae. The record is from Rfam by way of RNAcentral.
UCCCCUGUGGUGUAAUCGGCAACAUCGCGGACUUUGAAUCCGUUGUUCCAGGUUCGAGCCCUGGCAGGGGAG